UUUCUAGAAUAUAUAUAUGUAUAUAAAAAUAAUUAAUGGGAUAAAUAAAUAAGAGCAGUCUUUUCAUUAUAAUCGGUUGUUUGUUCACUCCUAAUUAGUAAUCUGCAUCUGCUAUGUCAAGUAUAUGUUCGCAAAGAAUCCAACUGUCUGUCAUUAGCAGGCAGGGAGCAAUUUUAUUUGAGAGCUGCAUAACAAAAAUCCAAAGACAUCGAGCAUUAGUAAUUGGGACAGGUUUGUCCAACAAAAAGGUUGACUAAAAAUUUAGCUUUGAGUUAGUGGUUUUUCUAUAGCAAACAACCUCUCUAUCAACACAAGAGGUAACAUCUGAGUACUUUCAUCCCUCUCAAACUCUAUUUUGUGAUAUUACACUAGGUAUGUUGUUAUUACUAUUGUUGUUGAGUUGUUUGGAGUUAAGAAGUUAUUAAAAUAACUUUUGUUACUUACAAUCCAAACGCACCCAAAAAUUAUAGAGAAAUCAUGAACUCUCGUGAUAUGACUUCCCAACAUCCUUCUAAUGGUAGCAAUGUCAUACUUGGUGAAGUUCCAAUCUCAAGGAAGUAGAAUUCCUUUUGGAAAAAAGAAACUGAAUUGUGUCUAUAAAAAUAUCUUAUCAUUUUUCAUUGGCAGAGUGAUAAUUAAAGGCUAUCAUACUAACAAUGUAACCUUAACAUAUUUAGUGUAAUCUCACAAUUGUAGGAUCCAUGAUGGUGGUGUGUGCUCAGCCUUACUUCUGCCUUGUGAAGAACUAUUAUAGUAGAGGUUGCAUGUGUUAAUUAGUUAUCACAAAAUUUUAGACUUUACUGGGAGUGUGAUAUAUGAUCUUGUAACUGCUGGAAGUGAGAAUCAUCUGGUGCUGGUAUACUUAAGAAAUAAGGUAUGCAGAAGAUGCAGAUGGCUCUGGAUCACAUUAUUUAGUUGGCAAUGGGAAUCUACUUUUAUGAGUACUACACAUAUAUCUUCUUCUAAAUGAAUGCAAAUGAGAAUUAUGAGCGCAAAGCAUGUGAAUAUGUGAAUGUUAAAACCUAAGAUGACAUUCAUAAGGCUUUUUAAUUACUA
This is an RNA transcript of Capsicum annuum, 1056 nucleotides long. RefSeq lists it as uncharacterized. The transcript is spliced from 5 exons. The record is from RefSeq and is a predicted model, not a curated record. NCBI's taxonomy places the organism in Eukaryota, Viridiplantae, Streptophyta, Magnoliopsida, Solanales, Solanaceae.